GAUGAAGAACGCAGCGAAAUGCGAUAAGUAAUGUGAAUUGCAGAAUUCAGUGAAUCAUCGAAUCUUUGAACGCACAUUGCGCCCCCUGGUAUUCCGGGGGGCAUGCCUGUUCGAGCGUCAUUUCACCACUCAAGCCUCGCUUGGUAUUGGGCAACGCGGUCCGCCGCGUGCCUCAAAUCGACCGGCUGGGUCUUCUGUCCCCUAAGCGUUGUGGAAACUUUCGCUAAAGGGUGUUCGGGAGGCUACGCCGUAAAACAACCCCAUUUCUAAGGUUGACCUCGGAUCAGGUAGGGAUACCCACUGAACUUAAGCAUAUCAAUAAGCGGAGGA
RNAcentral lists this unclassified non-coding RNA (330 nucleotides) under soil metagenome. Its description in RNAcentral is "partial contains 5.8S ribosomal RNA, internal transcribed spacer 2, and large subunit ribosomal RNA". The stretch from base 1 to 120 matches the Rfam family "5.8S ribosomal RNA", at positions 35 to 154 of the family's 154-position model. The record is from RNAcentral.